GCCUGGGUGGCUCAGUGGUUGAGCAUCUGCCUUUGGCUCAGGGCAUGAUCCUGUGGGAUCGAGUCCCACAUCAGGCU
This 77-nucleotide transfer RNA is filed under the name Canis lupus dingo (dingo). It matches the Rfam family "tRNA". From Rfam's summary of the family: Transfer RNA (tRNA) molecules are approximately 80 nucleotides in length. Lineage: Eukaryota; Metazoa; Chordata; Mammalia; Carnivora; Canidae. The record is from Rfam by way of RNAcentral.